Molecule: ribosomal RNA, 749 nt
Filed under: Gaeumannomyces graminis
Lineage: Eukaryota; Fungi; Ascomycota; Sordariomycetes; Magnaporthales; Magnaporthaceae
Description: partial 28S ribosomal RNA
Rfam family: Eukaryotic large subunit ribosomal RNA
Source: RNAcentral
UGCCCUAGUAACGGCGAGUGAAGCGGCAACAGCUCAAAUUUGAAAUCUGGCCCCAGGCCCGAGUUGUAAUUUGCAGAGGAUGCUUUUGGCAAAGCGCUUACCGAGUCCCCUGGAACGGGGCGCCACAGAGGGUGAGAGCCCCGUAUGGUAUGACGCCUAGCCUCUGUAAAGCUCCUUCGACGAGUCGAGUAGUUUGGGAAUGCUGCUCUAAAUGGGAGGUAAAUUUCUUCUAAAGCUAAAUACCGGCCAGAGACCGAUAGCGCACAAGUAGAGUGAUCGAAAGAUGAAAAGCACUUUGAAAAGAGGGUUAAAUAGCACGUGAAAUUGUUGAAAGGGAAGCGCUCGUGACCAGACUUGCGCCGGGCGGAUCAUCCAGCGUUCUCGCUGGUGCACUCCGCCCGGCUCAGGCCAGCAUCGGUUUUCGCCGGGGGACAAAAGCUUCGGGAACGUGGCUCCCCUCGGGGAGUGUUAUAGCCCGUUGUUUAAUACCCCGGCGGGGACCGAGGACCGCCCGUUUGCAACAAGGAUGGGGUAAUGGUCAUCAGCGACCCGUCUUUAAACCACGGACCGAGGAGUCAAGCAUUAGUGCGAGUGUUUGGGUGUAAAACCCGCACGCGUAAUGAAAGUGAACGUAGGUGAGAGCUUCGGCGCAUCAUCGACCGAUCCUGAUGUUUUCGGAUGGAUUUGAGUAGGAGCAUUAACGCUUGGACCCGAAAGAUGGUGAACUAUACUUGAAUAGGGUGAAGCCA